RNAcentral lists this ribosomal RNA (301 nucleotides) under uncultured bacterium. RNAcentral's name for it is "partial 16S ribosomal RNA". It matches the Rfam family "Bacterial small subunit ribosomal RNA", at positions 509 to 807 of the family's 1533-position model. The record is from RNAcentral.
CAGCCGCCGCGGGAAUACGGGGGGGGCAAGCGUUGUUCGGAAUUAUUGGGCGUAAAGGGUGCGUAGGCGGUUUGGCAAGUCUUAUGUGAAAUCUUCGGGCUCAACCCGAAGUCUGCAUGAGAAACUGCCGGGCUUGAGUAUGGGAGAGGUGAGUGGAAUUUCCGGUGUAGCGGUGAAAUGCGUAGAUAUCGGAAGGAACACCUGUGGCGAAAGCGGCUCACUGGACCAUAACUGACGCUGAUGCACGAAAGCUAGGGGAGCAAACAGGAUUAGAUACCCCGGUAGUCCCUGUCUCUUAUAC